UACGGAGGAUGCAAGCGUUAUCCGGAAUUAUUGGGCGUAAAGCGUCCGUAGGUGGUUGAGUAAGUCUGCUGUUAAAGCGUGGAGCUUAACUCCAUAUCGGCAGUGGAAACUACUUGACUUGAGUGCGGUAGGGGUCAGGGGAAUUCCCAGUGUAGCGGUGAAAUGCGUAGAUAUUGGGAAGAACACCGGUGGCGAAAGCGCCUGACUGGGCCCGCACUGACACUGAGGGACGACAGCUAGGGGAGCGAAAGGG
RNAcentral lists this ribosomal RNA (253 nucleotides) under uncultured bacterium. Its description in RNAcentral is "partial 16S ribosomal RNA". It matches the Rfam family "Bacterial small subunit ribosomal RNA", at positions 524 to 776 of the family's 1533-position model. The record is from RNAcentral.